AGAGUUUGAUCCUGGCUCAGGAUGAACGCUGGCGGCGUGCCUAAUACAUGCAAGUCGAACGAACUGAUUAGAAGCUUGCUUCUAUGACGUUAGCGGCGGACGGGUGAGUAACACGUGGGCAACCUGCCUGUAAGACUGGGAUAACUUCGGGAAACCGAAGCUAAUACCGGAUAGGAUCUUCUCCUUCAUGGGAGAUGAUUGAAAGAUGGUUUCGGCUAUCACUUACAGAUGGGCCCGCGGUGCAAUAGCUAGUUGGUGAGGUAACGGCUCACCAAGGCAACGAUGCAUAGCCGACCUGAGAGGGUGAUCAGCCACACUGGGACUGAGACACGGCCCAGACUCCUACGGGAUGCAGCAGUAGGGAAUCUUCCGCAAUGGACGAAAGUCUGACGGAGCAACGCCGCGUGAGUGAUGAAGGUUUUCGGAUCGUAAAACUCUGUUGUCAGGGAAGAACCAGUACCGGAGUAACUGCCGGUACCUUGACGGUACCUGACCAGAAAGCCACGGCUAACUACGUGCCAGCAGCCGCGGUAAUACGUAGGUGGCAAGCGUUGUCCGGAAUUAUUGGGCGUAAAGCGCGCGCAGGCGGUUCCUUAAGUCUGAUGUGAAAGCCCCCGGCUCAACCGGGG
Molecule: ribosomal RNA, 629 nt
Filed under: uncultured marine bacterium
Lineage: Bacteria
Description: bacterial SSU rRNA
Rfam family: Bacterial small subunit ribosomal RNA
Source: RNAcentral